GCGGAGGAAAAGAAAAUAACAAUGAUUCCCCCAGUAACGGCGAGUGAACAGGGAAAAGCUCAAAGUUGGAAUCUCCAAGUCCUAGAUUUGGCGAAUUGUAAACUAAAGUUCUCGAGUAGUUUGGCUAGCCUGGUAAAAAAGUUCUCUGGAAAGGGACGACAAAGAGGGUGAAAUCCCCGUUUUUGGCCGGAGCAUAGUCUUACGUUUGCUUGGAAACGAAGAGUCAGGUUGUUUGGUAUUGCAGCCUAAAGUUGGAGGUAAAUCUCUCCUAAAGCUAAAUAUUGACGAAAGACCGAUAGCGAACAAGUACCGUGAGGGAAAGAUGAAAAGCACCUUGAAAAGGGGGUCAAAAAGUACGUGAAAUUGCUGAAAGGGAACCGUAUAAAAUCAGCUUGUCUCUUUGAUAAUCAGCCUGGACUUUGGUCUGGGUGCACUUGUCAGUGAGUACGGCCUGUGACAAUUUGACUUGAGGGAAAAAAUCAAUGGGAAUGUGGCCUUGACUUCGGUGGAGGUGUUAUAGCCCUUUGAAAAAUACCUUGGGUUGGAUUGAGGACUGCAGUGAGCCCCCUUCUGGGGGGGAUGAACUGUGGGCGCUUGGUCAUCAUUAAAAAAGAAUCUCUGCUUCGGGUGGUGCUUUUUUAAUGGAGGUCAACUCGCCUACUUUUUCUUUUUCUCACUUAGGUUGCAGGCAUAAUGAUUUUAUAUGAC
This 708-nucleotide ribosomal RNA is filed under the name Absidia spinosa var. spinosa. Its description in RNAcentral is "partial 28S ribosomal RNA". It matches the Rfam family "Eukaryotic large subunit ribosomal RNA", at positions 50 to 648 of the family's 3401-position model. Lineage: Eukaryota; Fungi; Mucoromycota; Mucoromycetes; Mucorales; Cunninghamellaceae. The record is from RNAcentral.